This 667-nucleotide ribosomal RNA is filed under the name uncultured type II methanotroph T2-03. Its description in RNAcentral is "bacterial SSU rRNA". It matches the Rfam family "Bacterial small subunit ribosomal RNA", at positions 51 to 764 of the family's 1533-position model. The record is from RNAcentral. Lineage: Bacteria; Pseudomonadati; Pseudomonadota; Alphaproteobacteria; Hyphomicrobiales; Methylocystaceae.
ACACAUGCAAGUCGAACGCCCUAGCAAUAGGGAGUGGCAGACGGGUGAGUAACGCGUGGGAACGUACCCUUCGGUCUGGAAUAACCCAGGGAAACUUGGGCUAAUACCGGAUACGUGCGAGAGCAGAAAGAUUUAUCGCCGAAGGAUCGGCCCGCGUCCGAUUAGCUAGUUGGUGAGGUAAAAGCUCACCAAGGCGACGAUCGGUAGCUGGUCUGAGAGGAUGAUCAGCCACACUGGGACUGAGACACGGCCCAGACUCCUACGGGAGGCAGCAGUGGGGAAUAUUGGACAAUGGGCGAAAGCCUGAUUCAGCCAUGCCGCGUGAGUGAUGAAGGCCCUAGGGUUGUAAAGCUCUUUCGCCAGGGACGAUAAUGACGGUACCUGGAUAAGAAGCCCCGGCUAACUUCGUGCCAGCAGCCGCGGUAAUACGAAGGGGGCUAGCGUUGUUCGGAAUCACUGGGCGUAAAGCGCACGUAGGCGGAUCUUUAAGUCAGGGGUGAAAUCCCGAGGCUCAACCUCGGAACUGCCUUUGAUACUGGAGGUCUCGAGUCCGGGAGAGGUGAGUGGAACUGCGAGUGUAGAGGUGAAAUUCGUAGAUAUUCGCAAGAACACCAGUGGCGAAGGCGGCUCACUGGCCCGGUACUGACGCUGAGGUGCGAAAGCGUGG